Molecule: long non-coding RNA, 1160 nt
Filed under: Phascolarctos cinereus (koala)
Lineage: Eukaryota; Metazoa; Chordata; Mammalia; Diprotodontia; Phascolarctidae
Description: lncRNA (ENSPCIG00000003881.2)
Source: RNAcentral
GGGUGGAGCCUGGGUAGGGCGCCGCGCGCGGUGGGGCUCGUUCGGCGUCCUCUUAGCUCUGAGGCACGUGACGUUCGCUUCGGGCUGAUCCGCUGCAGCAUCCGCGGUGCUGGGCGUGGGGCGACGGGGUGGGAAGUGGCGCCGGCGCCGGCCGUGAAGCACGAGAAAAUCAUAAGUAUUCCAGAGAGUUUUUGGAAUCUUUCUUCUGAAAGAAGACCUUUCAAGGUGCAAUCCCCUUGUUUUAGUGGUCCAGAGAAGGGGAGCAACUUGCCCAAGGUCACACAGCCAGGUAAUUGGCAAAGCUGGAAAUUGAACCUAAUUCUUCUAACACUUUAUUUGGAGCUCUUUAAGCCCAUGCUAUUCUCUGGGUCCCUUAAGCUCUGACACAGUACUAGAAGUAAUAUUUUUUUCUUUUCAGACAUUACAUUCUCUUCUUUAAAUUCUCUUGUCUUCCGAUCCCAUUGUGAUAUGGGUGCUCCCCAAGGGACUUUCUGUCCUUAGACUUUUUCACUACAAGCUUUCCCUUGGCAAUACCUCUCUCCAAGCUUCUAAGCUUGUGCAGAUAAUUCCUUAAUUUAUAGCUCCAGACGCAUCUCCAAAUGCCUAAGGAAUAUCUUCACCUGGAUAUCCUACCUAGAACUCAACAUGUCCAAAAGCAAAUUAAUUAUAUCUUUACCAAAACAAUCUCCUGACUACUGGUUUGUAUCACCACUGUCUAUCUCGUUUUCCCUGAGGGCAGCAGUACUUUUGUACUGGCAGGUGUUGUUGAAUUUGUUGAAUUGAUUCAAAUUUUUGGAGUCAAUCAGUGACUAGGUUCUCUGGAAUCCAUUCUUGAACUCUUAGCCCUUUUCAGUCCUUCAUUCCAAUGCCAAAAUGAUUUUUGAAAAUAGAUCUGGUCAUGCCACACUUGUAACCAAAAGAUCUUUUAAGUGGCUAUUGCCUCCUGAGUAAACUUCAACAAAUAUUCCUGGUAUCCAAGACUCCAAGCCUGGAGUCUCCUCAUCUGCCUUCCCAGUUGUUCUCUAACAUGUUCUGAUUCCAGCCAAACUGGACAACUUUGUGCUCCUGAGCACAUAGUGCACUCAACUUUAUGCCUUUGUUGUAGUUGUUCCUCUUUCUCCCUAGUCAUCUUUUGAAAUCCUACCCAUCUUUUAAAAUCC